This 253-nucleotide ribosomal RNA is filed under the name uncultured bacterium. Its description in RNAcentral is "partial 16S ribosomal RNA". It matches the Rfam family "Bacterial small subunit ribosomal RNA", at positions 524 to 776 of the family's 1533-position model. The record is from RNAcentral.
GACGAACCGUGCGAACGUUGUUCGGAAUCACUGGGCUUAAAGGGCGCGUAGGCGGGCCGGACGGGCCGGGGUGAAAUCCCCCCGCUCAACGGGGGAACGGCCCCGGACACCGCCGGCCUCGAGGGGGGUAGGGGCGAGCGGAACGCUGGGUGGAGCGGUGAAAUGCGUUGAUAUCGACCGGAACUCCGGUGGCGAAGGCGAGGUGCUGGACCCUUUCUGACGCUGAGGCGCGAAAGCCAGGGGAGCAAACGGG